Molecule: ribosomal RNA, 339 nt
Filed under: uncultured Clostridium sp.
Lineage: Bacteria; Bacillati; Bacillota; Clostridia; Eubacteriales; Clostridiaceae
Description: bacterial SSU rRNA
Rfam family: Bacterial small subunit ribosomal RNA
Source: RNAcentral
UGGGGAAUAUUGGGCAAUGGGGGAAACCCUGACCCAGCAACGCCGCGUGAAGGAAGAAGGCCUUCGGGUUGUAAACUUCUUUUACCUAGGGACGAAGGACGUGACGGUACCUGGAGAAAAAGACAACGGCUAACUACGUGCCAGCAGCCGCGGUAAUACGUAGGUUGCAAGCGUUGUCCGGAUUUACUGGGUGUAAAGGGCGUGUAGGCGGAGGAGCAAGUCAGAUGUGAAAUCCCGGGGCUUAACCCCGGAACUGCAUCCAAAACUGAUAUUCUUGAGUGAAGUAGAGGUAGGCGGAAUUCCGAGUGUAGCGGUGAAAUAGCGUAGAUAUUCGGAGGA